CCUACGGGAGGCAGCAGUGGGGGAAUUGUUCGCAAUGGGCGCAAGCCUGACGACGCAACGCCGCGUGGAGGAUGAAGACCUUCGGGUCGUAAACUCCUUUCGAUCGAGACGAAUGUUUUCCGGGUGAACAAUCCGGAAAAGUGACGGUACCGAGAGAAGAAGCCCCGGCUAACUCUGUGCCAGCAGCCGCGGUAAUACAGGGGGGGCAAGCGUUGUUCGGAAUUACUGGGCGUAAAGGGCUUGUAGGUGGCCAACUAAGUCAGACGUGAAAUCCCUCAGCUUAACUGGGGAACUGCGUCUGAUACUGGAUGGCUUGAGUUUGGGGAGAGGGAUGCGGAAUUCCAGGGUGUAGCGGUGAAAUGCGUAGAUAUCUGGAGGAACACCGGUGGCGAAGGCGGCAUCCUGGACCAACACUGACACUGAGGAGCGAAAGCCAGGGGAGCAAACGGGGAUUAGGAUACCCCGGUAGUACCCUGGCCCUAAACGAUGAAUGCUUGGUGUAGGCGGGUAUCGAUCCCUGCCGUGCCGAGCUAACGCAUUAAGCAUUCCGCCUGGGGAGUCGGUCGCAAGGCUGAAACUUCAAAGGAUUGACGGCNGNGNGNGCGAGACGACGACGAGGGAGGAGG
This 626-nucleotide ribosomal RNA is filed under the name uncultured bacterium. RNAcentral describes it as "bacterial SSU rRNA". It matches the Rfam family "Bacterial small subunit ribosomal RNA", at positions 338 to 948 of the family's 1533-position model. The record is from RNAcentral.